This 31-nucleotide non-coding RNA is filed under the name Homo sapiens (human). The record is from RNAcentral. Lineage: Eukaryota; Metazoa; Chordata; Mammalia; Primates; Hominidae.
UGUCCAGCACCUGUGUGUCUAUCUGCUAGGU